Non-coding RNA from Chlorocebus sabaeus (green monkey), 1603 nucleotides. NCBI's taxonomy places the organism in Eukaryota, Metazoa, Chordata, Mammalia, Primates, Cercopithecidae. The record is from RefSeq and is a predicted model, not a curated record.
GUGGAAGAACUAAAGGGUUUGGGAUAAGGGUCCAUGUUACAGAAUUUCCAAUUACUCAUUCCUUUGGUCUCUUCCCAGAUGCCGAGCAACUCCGCCUCCCACCUUCCAACAGGCGCGCUCCCGGCCCCUCGGGACACGGCCGCCGUCGGCGAGUCUGGCUGUCCUCGCGUCGUGCCUGGGUGCCAGCCUCCCGGGGCGAAUGAGGGACACGUUUAUCAGUCCCGCGGGGAGAGGAGUGGGGGCUCGACUCGGAUUUCCUCCUCGGGCAAGACACGGCCAUUCCCCCACCACCUCCAUGGACUUACAGAGUCCAGGGGGAAAUGAACGCUGGUUCUCUUCUUUCUUUACCCGUCUCUGCCUUAGGAAUCAUCUACAGUUUCCGAGUCCACGUGGGGGGCGGCAGGACAGGACAAGUCACAGCCCCACCGAUUCCCAGUGUCUGCUGCAGCUUGGCGUCCAGCUCUACAAUUCUUGAAAGAUGAAAGAAAGAGAAGUCCCUAAGUAGAAACUACAAGGGCCAAGCAGAUUAUACCAUGUAAGGACAUCAUCUGUCCCUGGACUCUAAACGGAAGAUCAUGCAAAUAGUGGACUGAAGUCAUCCCAGCCUUCAAAAGAGCCACCGUCGGGGGGAAAUAACAGAAAGGGAUAAAAAGCUGUCUUUCGUAACCCAAUCUGUAUCUUUCUGUGUGACUUCCCUAUCCUGCCUGUCCUAACGCCCUCUCGGCCGUAAACACUCACAGAGUAGAAACAGAGCAUAGAAAUGAAGAAGAGGAAGAGGGGGAAAAAAUGGAGGAAACGCACAAGUUGUGUGUGUCUACAACUAGCAGAGAACAACUCCAACUUGUCUCUGAUACAGCUGGAGGAAGGGAUGCAACAAACUCAGGAACCAGAAUGCCUUGCACAAGAAACAAGACAGAGGGAAGCUUCUGGAGGAUAGAGAGCUUCAGCACAUUAAGAAACAGACUCAUUGGGCAGGACUUCUGAUCCCUGCCGUGAACAAUGAUGUGGAUAUGCUGCCAGAAAGCUGCAGGUAUGAACUGUUUCCAUGCUGCCAACUACCUGAAAUGAGCACUUGAAAACUAUGUUUUCUAUCACAAUCUGAAGGAAUUUCUUCUGCUUUGAAAACAAGUGUCCCAGAGUAACUUGGGACACACACCCUUGAUUGUGUGACCAACUUACCUAAAGCAAAAAUUCAAGGAAGAACUGCUUCAUUAUGAAUGGGUCAUUCAUACAAUCCAUUCUCUCGUUCACUUGUGGAUCACGACAUAAGCUGUUCAUCAGGCUCUGUGCGUGCUUAGGGACGGUUGUCUUGGAAGCGGUGAGCCUCUCGGGCCUCCAGCACAGCCAGGUGUCCCCUCCACCCCUCCAUUGCCUGUUGGAAAAGGAGGGUGACUAUCACUGAGGCAGCAGGCAAAUACAUUCCCCCUAGCCCCACCCCAGCCAUCUGCGCAGGGACAUUUGAUCAAGAUGAACUGAUUUGCAUCUAGGAUGUGGUCAAGAAUCAUGAGAUUAGCCUGGGCUUUCCGCCCUUCUGAUCCCUCAUCCGGUUUUUUGUUUUUUGUUUUUUUUGGAUAUAGGGUCUUGCUCUGUCACCCAGGCUGAA